GGCAGGUUGGCUGCUGAGGUUGGCUGCUGUGCCCUCUGUUGCUUCCCUCUUGUGUCCUCUUUAGCCCCUCCUUCACCUUCUGUGCCCUCUUUAGCCCCCUCUUCUGUGCCCUUUUUUGCUUCCCUCCUGUGUCCUCUUUUGCCCCUUCACCUUCUGUGCCCUAUUUUGCCCUUUUCCUGUAUCCUCUUUAGCCCCUUCCUGUGCCCUCUUUUGCCUCCUUUAGCUCAUCUCCCCUUCUGUGCCCUCUUUAGCCCCUUUUUACCUUCUGUGCCCUCUUUUGCCCCCUUCCGUGCACUCUUUAGCCCCCCUUUACCAUCUGUGCCCUAUUUUGCCCUUCUCAUCUGUCCUCUUUAG
This is a non-coding RNA of Pelobates cultripes (western spadefoot toad), 354 nucleotides long. Lineage: Eukaryota; Metazoa; Chordata; Amphibia; Anura; Pelobatidae. The record is from the annotation of a GenBank genome assembly.